AGUGAACGCUGGCGGCAGGCCUAAUACAUGCAAGUCGAACGGCAGCACAGCAGAGCUUGCUCUGUGGGUGGCGAGUGGCGGACGGGUGAGGAAUACAUGGGAAUCUGCCCAGUCGUGGGGGAUAACGUAUGGAAACGUACGCUAAUACCGCAUGCGCCCUACGGGGGAAAUCGGGGACCGCAAGGCCUGACGCGAUUGGAUGAGCCCAUGUUCGAUUAGCUAGUUGGCGGGGUAAAGGCCCACCAAGGCGACGAUCGAUAGCUGGUCUGAGAGGAUGAUCAGCCACACUGGAACUGAGACACGGUCCAGACUCCUACGGGAGGCAGCAGUAGGGAAUAUUGGACAAUGGGGGCAACCCUGAUCCAGCCAUGCGCGUGAGUGAAGAAGGCCCUCGGGUUUAAAGCUCUUUUG
Molecule: ribosomal RNA, 411 nt
Filed under: uncultured bacterium
Lineage: Bacteria
Description: bacterial SSU rRNA
Rfam family: Bacterial small subunit ribosomal RNA
Source: RNAcentral